CCUACGGGUGGCAGCAGUGAGGAAUAUUGGUCAAUGGGCUUACGCCUGAACCAGCCAAGUCGCGUGAGGGAAGACUGCCCUAUGGGUUGUAAACCUCUUUUGUCAGGGAGCAAUUGGCGCUACGUGUAGCGUUAUCGAGAGUACCUGAAGAAAAAGCAUCGGCUAACUCCGUGCCAGCAGCCGCGGUAAUACGGAGGAUGCGAGCGUUAUCCGGAUUUAUUGGGUUUAAAGGGUGCGCAGGCGGAAGAUCAAGUCAGCGGUAAAAUUGAGAGGCUCAACCUCUUCGAGCCGUUGAAACUGGUUUUCUUGAGUGAGUGAGAAGUAUGCGGAAUGCGUGGUGUAGCGGUGAAAUGCAUAGAUAUCACGCAGAACUCCGAUUGCGAAGGCAGCUUACUAAGCCAUAACUGACACUGAAGCACGAAAGCGUGGGGAUCAAACAGGAUUAGAUACCCCUGUAGUC
This 460-nucleotide ribosomal RNA is filed under the name uncultured bacterium. RNAcentral describes it as "partial 16S ribosomal RNA". It matches the Rfam family "Bacterial small subunit ribosomal RNA", at positions 338 to 795 of the family's 1533-position model. The record is from RNAcentral.